UGGAUUAGGCAUGCAAGUCGAACGCCGUAGCAAUACGGAGUGGCAGACGGGUGAGUAACACGUGGGAACGUACCUUUCGGUUCGGAAUAACUCAGGGAAACUUGAGCUAAUACCGGAUACGUGCGAGAGCAGAAAGAUUUAUCGCCGAAAGAUCGGCCCGCGUCCGAUUAGCUUGUUGGUGAGGUAACGGCUCACCAAGGCGACGAUCGGUAGCUGGUCUGAGAGGAUGAUCAGCCACACUGGGACUGAGACACGGCCCAGACUCCUACGGGAGGCAGCAGUGGGGAAUAUUGGACAAUGGGCGCAAGCCUGAUCCAGCCAUGCCGCGUGAGUGAUGACGGCCUUAGGGUUGUAAAGCUCUUUCGCCAGGGACGAUAAUGACGGUACCUGGAUAAGAAGCCCCGGCUAACUUCGUGCCAGCAGCCGCGGUA
This 431-nucleotide ribosomal RNA is filed under the name uncultured bacterium. RNAcentral's name for it is "bacterial SSU rRNA". It matches the Rfam family "Bacterial small subunit ribosomal RNA", at positions 45 to 522 of the family's 1533-position model. The record is from RNAcentral.